CCGGUUCCGCGCGACCCCCGCCCCUUCCCGGACUCCCCAGCCGAGGCGAGGGGCGGGGGCGCUGGGGACCCCGAGAGAGGGCGUGGGGGAUUGACGGAGGAGCGCUGAGAUCUCCAGCAUUCCCGGACUCGGACUGCUUGCUGAGGCUGCAGUCGAGAUUUGGGGCUGUCUCGUCUUUCCGGGCUUGAACAUAAAAUUCUCGCCCAUGGCGCAGUGGAAAGCUUUGAAGUCCGAGGUUGUGGGAUCAGAGUUGCCCCCUCGGGGGAUAAGUGACCUUGGAAAGGCUGAAUAUGAAGGCAGCUCAGACCGAGAAGACUGGUGCCCACCGCUCGCCUCCGGGCAUCCCUCCUGGCGGAGUUGGGAAGUCUGGGAUCCUUCGCCUCUCUCUCUGAUCGUGCGGAGCCAUAGCUGCAGAAGCAGCAGCUCUGCCCCCUGCUGGACACGUGAGGCAGCCCGCACUUUUCCUGUUCCAGAUGCAGCGCCCUUGUGGUGCUGGGGGGAAGAGAUUUUUUGGCUCACUCUGAUGGAAACAGCAAAACUGGGCGGAAUAAAAAUCCCAGGUUUUUUUUCUCUCUAGUUUAUUUCUGAGGAUCUGAUCUAUUUGGAUGCAGAAAACAUUUCUGUUGUUUCUCUUGCCUGGACGGCUUUUUUCCUUCCUGCUAGCCAAACCCGGCCCCUUUCAAGCCCUGUUUCAGAGUCCACCUCCUCCAAAACGCCCUUUCUGACUCUCCUCUCCUAUGUGAAUGUUUUGAAAUACAGCUAUGCACAGACCCGGCCCACGGAGUGCACACUCACAUACUGGCUUUACUGUUGUGUCCUUGAGGGUGGGGGCCAGGUUUGUGUGGCCUUUGUGUUCACAGACCCCGCCCGUAAGGUCCAGCACAGAGCUGGGGAUGAAACCUGCUGGCAAGCCCUUGU
RNAcentral lists this long non-coding RNA (918 nucleotides) under Equus caballus (horse). Its description in RNAcentral is "lncRNA (ENSECAG00000047415.1)". The record is from RNAcentral. Lineage: Eukaryota; Metazoa; Chordata; Mammalia; Perissodactyla; Equidae.